UUAAACAUGCAGCGAACGGUAAUAAGAGUUUGCCCUUGAUGACGAUGGCGGACGGUGAGUAAUGCUUGGGAAUCUAGCUUAUGGAGGGGGAUACUACGGGAAACUGUAGCUAUACCGCGUAGAAUCGGGAGAUGAAAGUGUGGGACUUCGGGCCACAUGCCUAGGAUGAGCCCAAGUGGGAUUAGUAGUUGGUGAGGUAAAGGCUCACCAAGCCGACGAUCCUACUGUUGAGAGGAUGACCAGCCACACUGGGACUGAGACACGCCCAGACUCCUACGGGAGGCAGCAGUGGGAUAUUGCGCAAUGGGGGCAACCCUGACGCAGCCAUGCCGCGUGAAUGAAGAAGGCCUCGGGUUGUAAAGUUCUUUCCGGUAGCGAGGAAGGCA
This 386-nucleotide ribosomal RNA is filed under the name Terrahaemophilus aromaticivorans. Its description in RNAcentral is "bacterial SSU rRNA". It matches the Rfam family "Bacterial small subunit ribosomal RNA", at positions 49 to 453 of the family's 1533-position model. Lineage: Bacteria; Pseudomonadati; Pseudomonadota; Gammaproteobacteria; Pasteurellales; Pasteurellaceae. The record is from RNAcentral.